AGCUCAGUAGUCUAGUGGUUAUGGCGCCAGGCUAUUUAUCUGGAGGUCGUGGGUUCGAUUCCCACCCGAAUCA
Molecule: non-coding RNA, 73 nt
Organism: Anneissia japonica
Lineage: Eukaryota; Metazoa; Echinodermata; Crinoidea; Comatulida; Comatulidae
Source: the annotation of a RefSeq genome assembly